UGAGGAACAUGACCUUCGGCGGGGGAUAGCCGGCCCAACGGCCGGGUAAUACCGCGUACGACCACAUGGGGACAUCCCUGAGUGGUGAAAGCAGCAAUGCGCCGAUGGAGUGCCUCGCGGCCUAUCAGCUUGUUGGUGAGGUAAUGGCUCACCAAGGCGACGACGGGUAGCCGGCCUGAGAGGGCGAUCGGCCACACUGGGACUGAGACACGGUCCAGACUCCUAGGGACGG
RNAcentral lists this ribosomal RNA (232 nucleotides) under uncultured bacterium. RNAcentral describes it as "partial 16S ribosomal RNA". It matches the Rfam family "Bacterial small subunit ribosomal RNA", at positions 118 to 348 of the family's 1533-position model. The record is from RNAcentral.